UACGGGGGGGGCAAGCGUUGUUCGGAAUUACUGGGCGUAAAGGGCUCGUAGGUGGCCAACUAAGUCAGACGUGAAAUCCCUCGGCUUAACCGGGGAACUGCAUCUGAUACUGGAUGGCUUGAGUUUGGGAGAGGGAUGCGGAAUUCCAGGUGUAGCGGUGAAAUGCGUAGAUAUCCGGAGGAACACCGGUGGCGAAGGCGGCUUCCUGGACCGACACUGACGCUGAGGCGCGAAAGCUAGGGGAGCAAACGGG
Molecule: ribosomal RNA, 253 nt
Filed under: uncultured bacterium
Lineage: Bacteria
Description: partial 16S ribosomal RNA
Rfam family: Bacterial small subunit ribosomal RNA
Source: RNAcentral